This 322-nucleotide long non-coding RNA is filed under the name Nicotiana benthamiana. RNAcentral describes it as "long non-coding RNA (NBEN_LNC030737)". Lineage: Eukaryota; Viridiplantae; Streptophyta; Magnoliopsida; Solanales; Solanaceae. The record is from RNAcentral.
GGAGAAAUAGAAAGGUCUUACUCAGACGGACCAAGGUGGCUUGAGAAUGGCAAGAACAGACCGUAGGUGUGAUUUAAAUAGCCGCUGGUCCCUUGAGGACUUUAGGGUAGCAUGAAUCUAGCAUGAGGAGAGCCAUGGAGGUUAGGGGUGCUGGUGGAACACCAUUAUUAACGGCGAGCCAAUGGCCGGCGAGUAGGAGCCAUGGUUUAGCAGAGAAAGAGAGCUUGAGAGAGAAUGAGAGGGUGUGACAGUGGAGAGUAAUGAGAGAAUGAUGGUUCUUUUUUGAGGGGGGCUAGUCUUUUAGGUUAAUUAUGGAAAGGGG